The sequence is a ribosomal RNA, 3195 nucleotides long. The stretch from base 1204 to 2023 matches the Rfam family "Eukaryotic large subunit ribosomal RNA", at positions 1891 to 3399 of the family's 3401-position model.
GAGUAACUAUGACUAAGCAAACGAGGGUCACCAAAGCGGGCAGCGCAAGCUGCCCGCUAGUGGGGAGUAGGCGGGAAAGUAAGGCUGAACGAGAGGGGGUGUACGAGUGAGGUUCUCCGGGGCCUCACCCCAAUCCCUGAUCAAGUAAGCCCGGAUCGCCCGUUUGCCGACUGCUACACCGCCAAAUUGCAGGGAAAUCCUAAAGCCCCUUACUACCAAGCGCAUCCCCGGAAACGGGGGCGUGGCCACGGCUAACCACCCUGGGUACGGUAACAAUGUAAGGGGAUGCCCCAAUGGACAACCUGCAGCCAAACGCUAACGGACGAACGGGUCAUCCCCCAGUAGUCCCAUGCGCCCAGUUCAACGACUAAAUGGCAGUGGGUCAUAGCGCCGUCUCCCGUUAGUAGCCACCGUCUCGGUGUGUGAAAGCAGGGGUUGGCAAAGUGGCUUAAGGUAUAGUCUAAGGGUCCCUCGAAAGGGGGAACCUCAACUCGCUCUUAAGGUAGCCAAAUGCCUCGUCAUCAUACGAAGAAAAGCAAGCUAGCGUUCACAUACACGAGGGUUGAGCAAGUACUAGUCUCUCUCCCGCAAGGGAGAUAGCAGGGAACGCAAGGCCUGAGUGACAUCGGGCCCGAGGGGUACUAGGGGGGGCACCCCCAACGACCCCGAAGGCUUGCACCAAAUUGCGCGGAGGAUCCCAAGGGUCCGAUGCACAGCCAAGCCCCGAGCCCCCUUCCGGGGGGGCAAAGGGAAGGUCAAGAGACUAUACGGUGCUAAAGCGGGGUUUUGCCGCCCUGCUGAGAAGAAAUAGUCCAUCGCCAGGUCGUGGAGGAGCUGUAGCGUGUGGCUUGUCGGGUCCUGAUCUCGUCCUCAGGGGCGGGUGUGGGCAAGGCACUGGCCAGUGGCUCGGAUGCUCGGUACUGACCGCUAUAGAUGUUAAUUUGUGACGCGCAUGAAUGAACCGAACGUGCAGGACAGCCGACUCUACCCCCUAUGGGGCCCGGAUAGGCUAGUCGCCCUUGGGCGGCAACAUCACCAAAUUGCGGGAACGCUGUAAAGCCCUGGAUACCAAGCAAUGCGCCCGAAAGGGCCGUGUGGCCAGCCUUAAUCGGCUGGGUACGGUACUCUGGGGAUAUACAAUCAGCCAUCCGCAGCUAAGCCCUACAGCCCGGCUUUGGCCGGGUAUGGGCGCAGCUCACAGACUAAACGGUGGUGGGUGGGAGAUCCCAACCUGUACACCCCCUUCUCUCGGGAAGGGGUUGAGGGUGGGGGGAUCCUGCUUAAGAUGUAGUCGAGGCAAUGGCGAAAGCCAUCUGAUCAACCUGGAAUGGAUUAAUGAGAUUCCCACUGUCCCUACCUACUAUCUAGCGAAACCACAGCCAAGGGAACGGGCUUGGUACAAUUAGCGGGGAAAGAAGACCCUGUUGAGCUUGACUCUAGGCACAGAAGCGAGGUGAUUCUAAAGGUGUAGCAUAGGUGGGAGGACCUGGUCCGCCCUUGAAAUACCACCACUUUCGACAUUGCUUUGCUAAUGCUGUAACGAACGAACGGCCCCCGGGCCGCUUGGGCCGCAAGGUUCAGGUACCCGGUAAGGUCAUAUUCUAGCGCUUUCCUGGCUGGUCAAGAUGGCUUGGCCCCUCUGGGUGAGUACUCUGGGACCGCAAACUGGGCUUCCGGGUCUGGUGCGCGCUGCUCUUGGGGGAACCAGAGAUGGUUGGGCUGUCCUCUGUCUGGCAUAAAUAUGGGUACGUAAAGCCGUGUAGCAGACCAUCUGUGUUGGGGAGUUUGGCUGGGGCGGAAAACUGCUACACGGCAACGGCAGUCUCCUAAGGUCCGCUCAGAGACGACAGAAACGCCUCGUAGAGCAUAAAGGCAAAAGCGGGCUUAACUUACAUUUUCAGUAGUAAUGUGAAGCAAGAAAUUGAGGCUUAACGAUCCUUAGCGUCGGGUGCCAGCCCACGCUUGAGGUGAGAGAAAAGUUACCACAGGGAUUGAUCAAGGUACGAUAGCGAACGGGCGGGAAAGACGGCUUGUGGGUCAAGGGACGGAGGGGGGGGGCAACUGCACGUCAAGUGCACGCGCGCUCUCUCACUGAACCGAGACACAUGGGUUGCCAAUCAGGGGAAGGGCUUCACAAAGGGCGAAAACAGGGGCAACGUAUACCGCCUCCAAGUAGCCAAGAGUGUAACCUGUGAAGCUGGUUGGGCUGGAAAGGGCGGGACUUUGCAACCUUGACGAAAACGCCUUGAUCGACAAAGUAGUCGGGGGAACCAUCGACCCAUACCCAAGAAGGCCAGUAUGCACGGUUCCAUGCGAGGGCUGAAAGCCAGGACAACAACCUUCCCCCCCAUGCUCCGGCAGGAGACGGGGGUUAGGGUAAGUUCACAGCUUUAGGUCCUGUACAUGGUCCCAACAAAGCGAGUCAAGCCGGAGAGUAGCGCAGGUUUCUCUGGUGAGGCGACACACCUGGAUGCUGGGACAGCUCGCUUUAAAGCGGUGGUACCAAGUGUUCUUCGGCGAUACCGAGGCACAGAGUGGCUCCAGUAUAAGACCCUCAACCCCCCCGUCUUCGGGCGGGGGGGAGCGGGGCACUGGAAGCACACGGGUCAUAAUCCACUUAGCUAGAGCCUAUCAGCAGGCAACAAGGUCACUCAAAAGGCUGGGGAUACCGAGUUCGACCAUCAUGGUUGGGCCGGCCCACUGGCUAAUGGCAACAGUGACUGCGUGCUACAACGACUGGGAAGGUGUGGGUGCGGGUCGGUGGCCCUUACCGGUUCUUUUCUCUUGCUCCCGCUCGGGGGGGUGGGGGUGAGGGAGAGGAACCGAAAGGUAAGAGAUCACCAGCACGUGCUGAAGGAACAGUCUGCCCCCACUGCCCCCCUGGCACUACCGCAAGGUAGUUCAGCCGGGGGGUGUGCAGUGCACUCAAUCACAGGAGGGCACCCGGCGGGAAGCACUGGAAUCAAGGUACGACACCCCGGCAGGGGUGAACGCCUUGGUGAAGGUGCUUCAGAGGUGCCCCCGCAACCCCCGACUGCACGGGUUAGGUUGAGUGGGAGGAGCUGGGACCGUUUGAGUAGGGUCACGCACAAGAGGUUUAUUUUUUUCACCCAGUGCACUAGUGACUCGAAAGGGACCUGCUUCUUUGGGCCUGGGAACUGGCUUGUGGCCGCCAAGCGUUCAUAGCGACGUGGC